CACGAACUGCGCAAACGUUAUUCGGAAUUACUGGGCUUAAAGAGUUCGUAGGCGGCUUGGCAGGUGAGGUGUGAAAUCCCUCGGCUCAACCGAGGAAUUGCGCUUCAAACCGCCAAGCUUGAGGGAGGCAGAGGUGAGUGGAACUGAUGGUGGAGCGGUGAAAUGCGUUGAUAUCAUCAGGAACACCAGUGGCGAAGGCGACUCACUGGGCCUCUUCUGACGCUGAGGAACGAAAGCUAGGGGAGCGAACGGG
RNAcentral lists this unclassified non-coding RNA (253 nucleotides) under uncultured Pirellulaceae bacterium. RNAcentral's name for it is "contains 16S-23S intergenic spacer region". It matches the Rfam family "Bacterial small subunit ribosomal RNA", at positions 524 to 776 of the family's 1533-position model. The record is from RNAcentral. Lineage: Bacteria; Pseudomonadati; Planctomycetota; Planctomycetia; Pirellulales; Pirellulaceae.